AGAUUGAACGCUGGCGGCAUGCCUUACACAUGCAAGUCGGGCGGCAGCGCGGGGGCAACCCUGGCGGCGAGCGGCGAACGGGUGAGUAACGCAUCGGAACGUGUCCUGAAGUGGGGGGAUAACCUACCGAAAGGUAGGCUAAUACCGCAUGGGCUCGGGAGAGCAAAGGGGGGGAUCGCAAGACCUCUCGCUUGAGGAGCGGCCGAUGUCGGAUUAGCUAGUUGGUGGGGUAAAGGCCCACCAAGGCGACGAUCCGUAGCGGGUCUGAGAGGAUGAUCCGCCACACUGGGACUGAGACACGGCCCAGACUCCUACGGGAGGCAGCAGUGGGGAAUUUGGACAAUGGGGGCAACCCUGAUCCAGCCAUGCCGCGUGUGUGAAGAAGGCCUUGGUUGUAAGCACUUUCGGACGGAACGAAACGCCUACCACUAACGACGUCGGGCGCGAUGACGGUAC
Molecule: ribosomal RNA, 456 nt
Filed under: uncultured soil bacterium
Lineage: Bacteria
Description: bacterial SSU rRNA
Rfam family: Bacterial small subunit ribosomal RNA
Source: RNAcentral